UACAUGUGGGGCAAGCGUUGUUCGGAAUUACUGGGCAUAAAGGGUGCGUAGGUGGUCUGGUAAGUCAGUGGUGAAAUCGUCCGGCCCAACCGGACACGUGCCAAUGAUACUGCCGGACUCGAGUGCGUGAGGGGUGGGGGGAACGAGCAGUGUAGCGGUGAAAUGCGUAGAUAUUGCUCGGAAGGCCAAAGCCGAAGGGACCCCACUGGUACGUAACUGACACUGAGGCACGAAAGCGUGGGGAGCAAACAGG
This 253-nucleotide ribosomal RNA is filed under the name uncultured bacterium. RNAcentral's name for it is "partial 16S ribosomal RNA". It matches the Rfam family "Bacterial small subunit ribosomal RNA", at positions 524 to 776 of the family's 1533-position model. The record is from RNAcentral.